AAGUCGAACGAGCGAGAGAGAGCUUGCUUUCUCGAGCGAGUGGCGAACGGGUGAGUAACGCGUGAGGAACCUGCCUCAAAGAGGGGGACAACAGUUGGAAACGACUGCUAAUACCGCAUAAGCCCACGGGUCGGCAUCGACCAGAGGGAAAAGGAGCAAUCCGCUUUGAGAUGGCCUCGCGUCCGAUUAGCUAGUUGGUGAGGUAACGGCCCACCAAGGCAACGAUCGGUAGCCGGACUGAGAGGUUGAACGGCCACAUUGGGACUGAGACACGGCCCAGACUCCUACGGGAGGCAGCAGUGGGGAAUAUUGCACAAUGGGGGAAACCCUGAUGCAGCGACGCCGCGUGGAGGAAGAAGGUCUUCGGAUUGUAAACUCCUGUUGUUGGGGAAGAUAAUGACGGUACCCAACAAGGAAGUGACGGCUAACUACGUGCCAGCAGCCGCGGUAAAACGUAGGUCACAAGCGUUGUCCGGAAUUACUGGGUGUAAAGGGAGCGCAGGCGGGAAGACAAGUUGGAAGUGAAAUCUAUGGGCUCAACCCAUAAACUGCUUUCAAAACUGUUUUUCUUGAGUAGUGCAGAGGUAGGCGGAAUUCCCGGUGUAGCGGUGGAAUGCGUAGAUAUCGGGAGGAACA
This 636-nucleotide ribosomal RNA is filed under the name uncultured Lachnospiraceae bacterium. RNAcentral describes it as "bacterial SSU rRNA". It matches the Rfam family "Bacterial small subunit ribosomal RNA", at positions 59 to 708 of the family's 1533-position model. The record is from RNAcentral. Lineage: Bacteria; Bacillati; Bacillota; Clostridia; Lachnospirales; Lachnospiraceae.